Small nucleolar RNA from Mangifera indica (mango), 107 nucleotides. The record is from RefSeq and is a predicted model, not a curated record. NCBI's taxonomy places the organism in Eukaryota, Viridiplantae, Streptophyta, Magnoliopsida, Sapindales, Anacardiaceae.
AAACCAUGAUGGGGAUGCUGUCUUUGUAGACCUUUAAACCUUUCCCAAACUUCAUAUAAAGACACAUCAUCGCUUUGGUAAAAUGUGGUGAUCUUAUUUCUCAAUUU